CACUGCUGGUGGGAAUGUAAGCUAGUUCAACCAUUGUGGAAAGCAGUAUGGAGGUUCCUCAAAAAACUAAAAAUAGAAACACCAUUUGAGCCUGGAAUCCCGCUCCUUGGAAUAUACCCAAAGAAUACAACUUCUCAGAUUCAAAAAGACAUAUGCACCCCUAUGUAUAUUGCAGCACUUUUUACAAUAACCAAGAUAUGGAAGCAACCUAAGCGUCCAUCAGUAGAUGAAUGGAUAAAGAAGAUGUGGUACAUAUACACAAUGGAAUACUAUUCAGCCAUAAGAAAGGAACAAAUUCUACCAUUUGCAGGAACAUGGAUGGAGCUGGAGGACAUUAUGCUCAGUGAAAUAAGCCAGGCGUGCGCACAGGGUCCCGGUGGCAUCUGACCCCACCAGCCCCGCUCUGCGCUUUUCCACAGUUCAAGUCAUUUUCCUCUUCCCGACUCGUCCCCUACCCUGGGCAAUGCAACCCCCACCCGGGAAAACCCGGACAAAACCGGAGAUUUCUUCUCCUUCCCAGUCAUACUCUGCCUCGUGCCUGUCUGUCCCUGUCCCCCUCGGCCUCUCUGUCUCUGGCGAGGGGGAAGGGGCCUGCGCGCCCCGGGGCCGACAUCUCCGCUUCCGAGGAGCCUUCCGUGGGCCCCCGCAGGAGCCUCGCGCGGCCUCCGUCACCAGACGCUGCCUGUGCGUCAGGACGCUUCUCAGCAUCCUGGGCCGCCUUCCUCCCCUGUUCUGGCCCCGCUGUCGGCGUUUAUCACGUGAGCACGCGGGGCCGAGCUACCCGGCCCCUCGCGGACUCCACCCUCGUUCGCACGGACGCGGCGUCACCACCUCGGCCUCCCCUGCCGGGCGCCUGUGUUCCCCUACACUGGCCACGGCGGGCCCUGGUUUUCACAGAUCAUCGAUCUGAGACGUGCUGGAUGUUAGGGGCUGGUUACAAGGGCAGACGCCCCCAGGCGGGGCUGAUGAGCCCAGGCUGUGCAAACCGCCCCCGGCUGGGCCCGCGUUCUCCUCCGGCACCUUCCGUGCCUACGGGGCCGGGACCGGCGCACGGCUUCACGGGCCAGGAAGGACCGAGGCCACCAACACAAGGAGGAAUCAGACUCCGGUGAGGCUGCCUUUCCGAGCUUGGGUUCUGACCCCGUUCAAUCAAGAAUCCCCACACCUUAGACUCUGCAGGACCACCAUUGCAAAUUUCCCACAUGAUCUAACUCUGCCUAACAGUUCUUCUUUAAAUGAACUCAAUUUACAAACAAAUGUGCCAUAAAACGAAGUGGCCCGUCACUUUCAGCAGAAAACUGGCAGCACCGUGACGCACGCAAGACCGUGUCCAGAGAGAGAGAAACAGGCUAUUACAUGCAAGGUGCUGAAGAUUCCCAGAAAGGGGCCGUUUUCCUUCUGCACUCUCCCUAAAAGGGAAAUGGGUAAUUAUGAGACAUUUUAACAACAUAAUUAUUCUAAGGUGAGCUUUCUUUUUGAUGCCAUCAAUGCGAUCUAAUAUUACUACAGACGGGUCCAUAUAUAGCCUUAAAAUUAUCUCCCAUGUUGGAUAAAUGAACUGUGCCAUUUGUAUGUCAAGCAAGGCAUAGUAAAGAUUCGGAAAUAAUGCCUUUUCUAACAAAUUAACUAUUCAAAUUGUGUGCAAAGUUGUAGUGUGUCAGAGCCAAGAGAGAUCUCAGAGCAUGCCUGAUAAUAAUAAAUACUUCCUCAGCGAUUCCUCUAUGCCAGGCAUUAUCCUAUGUUUUAUGAGGUCAUUCAGUCUUCAGUCUCCACAACAAAUAUGGGUAGGUAGUGUUAUUCCCAGCUUAUGGCUUAGAAAACUGGCAGCACAGUUGCGAAGACUGGAUAGCUUACAAUGCUUAUGUACGAGGCCACCUUACAUCCCCGGGUCCACACGUGGCCUUGGGCCUGCCAAGCAGACGCACACACGUGAGACCUGGAGAAGUAAGGUGCUGCCUGCGGGCAGAUUGCUUCCAGCAGACAGGAACCCCAGGAUGGCUGGAGCUGACCGUGCUGGGGUUUCUUCUCCCACCCAUCAAGUGAGCUGACUCAUCCCCACUUUCUUUUGGAAAACCCAGAGGAGGAGACACUUUUACAGGUAGAAAUGUCCAUGUACUCCUCUUCCUUUCCCAAUUUUGUAGAUUUAUCAGGUGUUUUACUACUGUUUCUCCUGGGCUUCUAAAUGUAUUUACUUAAUGUGUUCCCAAAUAAAAUAUAUACUCAAUCCAGAACAUAUUACUGAUGCAACACUAUGCUUUUAUAUUUUCUUAUGUUUAUCAACCCCAGUAAGUGAAAAGUAUUUACAUUUUUAAAGAAAUGGAUACCGUUGGUCAUUAUUUGCUUGAAUAAAAUUCCAUGAGGGUUUUUGGCAGGUUUGGUUUAUUGCUACAUCCUCAGUGUUUAAAAGUUCCUGGUAUGCAAAAGGUGUUUAAUAAAUGGUUGCUGAGCACAUAAGCCAAAUUACUUUUCAAGGGAGAGUUCGGAUAUUAAGUCCUCACUGUCCUCGUCUAAUGACAGGCCAGCUCAGGUUGAAUUCCUAGGAAACUAUUCCUGGCUACCCUUCAAGGGAAGGCAUCCCCAUGUUUUUCAUGUGCACAGGGUUCCUCUCUGUUAUGCAUUCUUUUCUGGUGUCUAACGAGAUAGGACUUGUCAAUGAAGGCCUUCUGGCAUUCAGAACAUUUGUAAGGUUUUUGUCCUGUGUGGGUCUUUCUAUGCAAAUUGAGGCCUAGCUUCCGGCUGAAGGAUUUUCCCCACUUCUGACGGCUGUAGGCCCUCUCUCCGCUGUGAACUUUCUGAUAGGUGUGAGGGUUUGACCUCUGAACGAAAGCUUUCCCACAUCUAUCACCAGUAUAGGACUUGGUCCCAGUAUGGAUUUUUUUAUGCUGAAUCAGGUUUUUCUUCAGGAUGAAGGUAUCAUCGCAUAGAUCACACUCAUAAGCUCUCUCCCCAGUAUGAAUUUUCUCAUGGUCCACGGCAUUUGAUUUCUGGGCAAAGGCCUUUUCACAUAUGCUGCACUUAUAAGGUUUCUCUCCGGUGUGUGUCCUCUGGUGUUUCAAGAGAUCUGACUUGGAAGUGGAAGCCUUUGCGCGGACAUUGCAGCCACAGGGCUUCUGUCCAGCUGCUUUCCUGUGCUGAAGGAGGGCGGAGUUCUGCUUGAGGGAUUGCCCACGUUCGUUACACCCAGACGCCUUCUCUACAUUAUGCCUCUUCUUGUGAUUGACGCAGGAUGAUUUCAAGGAAAAGGCCUUUCCACGUGUUUUACAUUUGUAGGGCUUCUUCUCCUCAGUAUGAGUUUUUUGAUGUUGGAUGAGAUCUGGCUCUUGUGUGUAGACUUUGCCGCAUUCUUUGCAUGUAUAGGAUUUGCCAUCCGUGCCCCUUUUCUGAUGCUGACCGAUCCCCGGUUCCCCCUGAGCACGCUCCCACAUUUGUCACUGUCGGGGGAUUUCUCACCAGCAUGCAUCCUUAGGUCACUCUGAAGGCAUGACUUGGGACUGAAUAACUUCUGACAGGCAUUCCCUUCAAAUUGUUUUUCUUCAAAUUUGGAUGGAUUAUGGCCAACUAGUUUUCUGUAUAUGUUACCAGAAUUUGUUUCCACACAGAGUUCCAUAUCUAAACUAUAUUUCAAAUGUUUUCCAAACGGGUUGCAUUCAAGGAGUCUGAGUCUUGAAGGAACACGUUUUCAGGCUGAGUCUGAAAUAUAGUUUAGAAUAACACAACUACUGAAGAAACUUACAUGUAUCGGGACAUGUGACUCUGAAAAGCACAAAAUAAGUUAAAAAGAGAAAAGAAAAUGUCACUUCUCCUUCGAGACUCUGCCCCACAUCCUGGAAUCUCCAGAUCUUCUCUUCCAUGCCCCGGUCUCCUUCUGAAACGGGGUACAAAGCAGCAUCCCAUGUGACUCUUUCCACACACGUGACUGAAAUGAAGUGGUAUAAACACUCAACUGUGGCAAUCUUUCCCAUUUGGGACCUAAUGUCUGGGGGAGAUGGACUGAAUCUACCAUUGAGGAAGGUUGAAGGAGUGGAUAUAAUCUCAGAUGGCAUUGAUCAAGAAUUAUCAAAAAAUAGGACGUUAGAGGGAGCUUAAUGUAACAACAGACGCAGAUGAAUAACUGCUGACGGUUUGCUCAAAGCAGGGAGCUGCGGAACGACUACAUAGCUCUCAUUUCAGAUAAAGAGAGCCGAACACCCACCACAGACUGAGUCAUCAGCAGGUUACCUGCAAUGCGUGCACGCUGGGGUUUUUGGGGGUUUUCCUAAGUAAUAAACAGAGCUAAGUCUGUAUUUAAGA
Long non-coding RNA from Manis pentadactyla (Chinese pangolin), 4290 nucleotides. RefSeq lists it as uncharacterized. NCBI's taxonomy places the organism in Eukaryota, Metazoa, Chordata, Mammalia, Pholidota, Manidae. The transcript is spliced from 3 exons. The record is from RefSeq and is a predicted model, not a curated record.